RNAcentral lists this ribosomal RNA (425 nucleotides) under uncultured bacterium. Its description in RNAcentral is "partial 16S ribosomal RNA". It matches the Rfam family "Bacterial small subunit ribosomal RNA", at positions 354 to 796 of the family's 1533-position model. The record is from RNAcentral.
GUGGGGAAUAUUGGACAAUGGGCGCAAGCCUGAUCCAGCCAUGCCGCGUGGGUGAUGAAGGCCCUAGGGUUGUAAAGCUCUUUCACCGGAGAAGAUAAUGACGGUAUCCGGAGAAGAAGCCCCGGCUAACUUCGUGCCAGCAGCCGCGGUAAUACGAAGGGGGCUAGCGUUGUUCGGAAUUACUGGGCGUAAAGCGCACGUAGGCGGACAUUUAAGUCAGGGGUGAAAUCCCGGGGCUCAACCCCGGAACUGCCUUUGAUACUGGGUGUCUGGAGUAUGGAAGAGGUAAGUGGAAUUCCGAGUGUAGAGGUGAAAUUCGUAGAUAUUCGGAGGAACACCAGUGGCGAAGGCGGCUUACUGGUCCAUUACUGACGCUGAGGUGCGAAAGCGUGGGGAGCAAACAGGAUUAGAAACCCGAGUAGUCC